AACGAACGCUGGCGGCAUGCCUAACACAUGCAAGUCGAACGAGACCUUCGGGUCUAGUGGCGCACGGGUGCGUAACGCGUGGGAACCUGCCCUUAGGUUCGGAAUAACUCCCCGAAAGGGGUGCUAAUACCGGAUAAUGUCUUCGGACCAAAGAUUUAUCGCCUUUGGAUGGGCCCGCGUUGGAUUAGCUAGUUGGUAGGGUAAAAGCCUACCAAGGCGACGAUCCAUAGCUGGUCUGAGAGGAUGAUCAGCCACACUGGGACUGAGACACGGCCCAGACUCCUACGGGAAGCAGCAGUGGGGAAUAUUGGACAAUGGGCGAAAGCCUGAUCCAGCAAUGCCGCGUGAGUGAUGAAGGCCUUAGGGUUGUAAAGCUCUAUUACCCGGGAUGAUAAUGACAGUACCGGGAGAAUAAGCUCCGGCUAACUCCGUG
Molecule: ribosomal RNA, 433 nt
Filed under: uncultured bacterium
Lineage: Bacteria
Description: partial 16S ribosomal RNA
Rfam family: Bacterial small subunit ribosomal RNA
Source: RNAcentral